UCUUGCUACGGGCCUCAGUAGUCCGAGUCUGGAAUGCGUCACAAAUAGACCAGCCGACUCGUUCGUAUUCACGUGCAUUAUAUUCGGAUAAUUGAAAGAAAGAUGAUGAGGUGAUUGACAUCUUAUGCUAAUGCUGCGUCAAUUAUAUUCAGUUCCUGCUGGGCUGUUUACUUUCUAGGCGAGCAUUCGACUAGCUAGCGAUAGUUCUAACAAACAAUCUUCAGCUAUUUAUAGGGGUUAAUAAUGGAAAUACCACAAGGAAUUGAAUGUUGCAAUAUUAUAGUUAUCAAAGAAUGUCAGAUUUCUCCUGUUGGGAAACUCGUAUACUGUAAAUCCGACGGUACUUGAAAGAAACAUAACCCCUACUCCCCACUUUCGCUAGGACAGGUGAAUUCACCUGCCAGUCAAGGUGAUUUGGCUGGGGGAGGAGACGUACGUCAUCAGAUUUGAUGGUUUCUUUUCUCCCGCCUCGUGCGUUGGUUGUUUAAUGAAACUAUCCAAUUCAGUCAAACUGAGUGGGCUAGAAGUCCACCUUAAAUAUGUUCGUCAUGCGUUAACAUAUAAUGUAUAUGUUGAUAAGUGCAGAUGAGUUUUUACUGUGAAUAAAAAUGUUUUUGACGCAGUUAUGCUGUCUUGCUUUUUUACAAUGUUUGAUAGCAAGCCAACUAACGUUAGGUCGGCCAUUGCGGUGCGCUACCUAGCUAGCUAACGUUAGAUGCGAGUAAAGCUACGCAGACAGCUAGCAAACAUUUUUUGAAUAGUCGUACUUUAAUUUUUGCACAAUCAAUUGAGGUCGGUAGGCUGUCCGAUCAUUUCUGAUGUUAAAAUGGCCUAAUCUGACUGGAAUAAAGACGGAAUAGGUUGUUACUACUAGUUUAUAUCGUGUGUGGUUGUGAGCAGUGUUUGAUAAAUUAUGCUAGUGUUGUGCUUGCUAGGUAGCCUUCCUUAGUUAUCGGUACGUACUGUCUCAAUGUGUGCCAAUCAAGUAACAAACUGAACUCAAUGUGAAAUUCACCUCCGUGUGUAAUUAAACUUAACUUUUUUUUUCCAGCACAGUAAACUUCACAAAUGAGGAGAAACGAUCUGCUUCACCGGCCCAAGGGCACCGAAUUCAUGUUAACGCUGACGUGAGGGGAACCCAGCGUGGUCUUCUGCUGCUGUAGCCCGUUCGAGUGAAGGUUUGACGCAUUCUGCGUUCCAAGAUGCCCGUCUGUACACCAAUGAAUAUCCUCUCCUGAAUGAUCCCUCCUUUGAGUAGAGGAGGAGAGGAAAAGAGGGAAGGAAGGAAGGAAGGGGUGUCGAGAGCCAAUCAGACAGCAGCGGUGAGAAAAGAGAGCGUUUGACUCGCUGUCCUCCUGAC
Molecule: long non-coding RNA, 1360 nt
Organism: Anguilla rostrata (American eel)
Lineage: Eukaryota; Metazoa; Chordata; Actinopteri; Anguilliformes; Anguillidae
Exons: 3
Source: RefSeq, a predicted model, not a curated record